This 365-nucleotide long non-coding RNA is filed under the name Amborella trichopoda. Its description in RNAcentral is "long non-coding RNA (ATRI_LNC002415)". The record is from RNAcentral. Lineage: Eukaryota; Viridiplantae; Streptophyta; Magnoliopsida; Amborellales; Amborellaceae.
AAUAUCCCAAAUACUUAACACAUAAUAACAACAUUAAAUCAAAAUAAGCUAAUGCUAUUUUAUUAUUUUAUAGGCACUCAUGUGUAAGUUUAUAUUUUAUGUAAUUUGAAAAUUAUUGGAAACAACAUCGUGUGUUUUUCAUAAACGAAGGACAAAAUGUAAAUUUUAACUAGGAGUCGUGGUGGUAGCAUCCCCACACCUAGUUACCACAUCAUGGAAUCCAUUCCUACCGCUCCUCAAUUAACACCUUCAAAAUGUAACUUCCCAAUACCUUCAAAAUGUAACUCCCCAAUCUAUUGAAAAAAUAAUUAAAAAUAAAACAGUUAUAGGCAAGACAAUGUGAUUGGGCCCAUCUCAGAUGGCUG